Molecule: ribosomal RNA, 903 nt
Filed under: uncultured euryarchaeote
Lineage: Archaea; Methanobacteriati; Methanobacteriota
Description: bacterial SSU rRNA
Rfam family: Archaeal small subunit ribosomal RNA
Source: RNAcentral
CAUGUUUACAUGGCCUUUGGCGUUGGCGAAUACCUUGGCGAAUAGUGGUGGGUAAGACUGUGCCAGCAGCGCGUUUAACCCCAGCGCCACAAGUGGUGAUCGGUUUAUGGGCCUAAAGCUUCCGUAGCUGGCCAAAAAAGUCUCUUGUGAAAUCGGGACGCUUAACGUACCGGACUGCAGGAGAUACUAUUUGGCUUGGAACUGGGAGGAGCAAGAGGAAUUUGGGGGAAGCGGUAAAUGUUAUAUUCCCCGGAGGACCACCGAUGGCGAAGGCAUCUUGCUAGAACAGAUUCGACAGUCAGGGAUGAAAGCUAGGGGAGCAAACCGGAUUAGAUACCCGAGUAGUCCUAGCGUUAAACGCUGUGAGUUAGGUGUUGCGCAUUCUUAGGGAAUGCGCAGUAUCGUAGUGAAGACGUUAAACUCACCGCCUGGGAAGUAUGGUCGCAAGACUGAAACUUAAAGGAAUUGGCGGGGGAGCACUACAAGGGGUGCGGCGUGCGGUUUAAUCUAACUCCACGCAGAGAAUCUCACCAGAAUCGACGGCAGGAUGAAGGACAAGCUAAAGACUUUUCUUGACGAGCCGAGAGGUAGUGCAUGGCCGCCGUCAGCUCGUGCCGUAAGGUGUCCUGUUAAGUCAGGUAACGAGCAAGACCUGUGUCUACAAUUGCCAGCGAGUGAUUUAUCAUGAUCGGGCAUAUUGUAGGGACUGCCUUGGAAACAAGGAGGAAGGUGCAGGCAACGGUAGGUCUGUAUGCUCCGAAUAUUCUGGGCUACACGCGCGCAACAAUGGUAACCACCAUAGGAUGCAACACCGAAAGGUGAAGCUAAACCUCGAAACCUUAUCUUAGUCCAAAUUGAGGUUUGUAACCCAAGCCUCAUGACGCUGAAUCCCUUAACCGGGGU